Long non-coding RNA from Oncorhynchus tshawytscha (Chinook salmon), 1151 nucleotides. Lineage: Eukaryota; Metazoa; Chordata; Actinopteri; Salmoniformes; Salmonidae. The record is from Ensembl.
ACACACACAUACCUCAUUCACACACACUGCCCUCCUCCUUCCAUGACACACACACACUCCUCCCGCCCGGGUCGCACCGACUCGGCUGGCUGCUCUGCCGUCUCUCUCAUGUGACAGAUGAGUGUGUGUGAAGCAUUUCAUUCAGGCUCACAGCUCAGUUUCAAGACUGCUGCAAAACGAUCCAAGGACCCACAGUCACUAGUAGGGAUGGAGUGGACUGGAGUGAGCAGAGAGGAUGGAGAGUGUGUGUGUGUGUGUGUGUCUGAGAUUUGUGCUUUUUGUUGUUUGUGUGCUCACCCUCUAAGCAACCCUCUCAUAACACCAUAGCAUCUCUCUCUCUGCUCUAGCAGUAGAGCCCUAGUGGCUGGGGGACAUGCGAUAUUAUAAGGAGUGUAGGAUGGAACGUAGGGAUAAUCUAUCUAUAGGGUGUCUUCAUACGGACGAUGAGGCACUGAUUGGCUAGUUUUUAUUGCGUCUCACUACCAGUUUCAGUGGGGUCUAGUCAUUCUACAGAACCUAAUAGGCAGAUCAUGGUGGUAGUGGGGUCUAGUCAUACUACAGAACCUAAUAGGCAGAUCAUGGUGGUAGUGGGGUCUAGUCAUUCUAUUAAACCUAGUAGGCAGAUCAUGGUGGUAGAAUGGGGUUUAGUCAUUCUACAGAACCUUGUAGGCAGAUCAUGGUGGUAGUGGGGUCUAGUCAUUAUAUUAAACCUAGUAGGCAGAUCAUGGUGGUAGAGUGGGGGCUAGUCAUUCUACAGAACCUAGUAGGCAGAUCAUGGUGGUAGUGGGGUCUAGUCAUUCUAUUAAACCUAGUAGGCAGAUCAUGGUGGUAGUGGGGUCUAGUCAUUCUAUUAAACCUAGUAGGCAGAUCAUGGUGGUAGUGGGGUCUGGUCAUUCUAUUAAACCUAGUAGGCAGAUCAUGGUGGUACAUAGUAUGACAGGGCCUCUCAGGUUGUCAGCUAGUGUGAGUCUGCCCCUUUAUUAAAGCAUCUGAGGAAAACUCAUUCUCAUCCACACACUAAUGUUCUCUUCCUCUCUUUCACACACAGACCUGUGUUUGCUGUGUGUAAUUUGCUCGCCUGCCUGCUGCCUAUGGGCCUGUGGACGAUGCUCUACAUAUGGAGAGGGAGAGAGAGAAGGAGCCUUCCUUGG